ACAUUUUGGGUGCACCGGCGAAACUCGUCCCCGGGGCCGGGGUCGUCCUGGCAACGAGAAGGGCUGUGUGUGCCAGUGUAAACAACCCGAUCGGGCACCAGGUACACGGUCUCGGUUCCGCAGGAGCCCCUCCGCCACCCCAAGUCCGAGGGGACAAAGACCCAGGUCCUUUCUCAGCUGCGGACUUGAAAUGACCGCACGCGAGGGCGGCGGGCCAUAGGAAGGAUUUCGCGGAAAGGUGCCGGGCAGCUGCGAGCUGGGGGCCGAGCGAUGCCGGGCCCUGCACGCCUGGGGAGUGGGGGACAGGGGAGAGAGAGCGAGCCCAGCGCCGGCCUGGAAGGGGGUCUCGCCUCGCGGUGCCUCCGCAGGCGCCGGACCCUCCCGCUGGAAGGCCGCGCGGCCCGGUCUGGUCCGCCCGCGGGGCAGGCGCCGGACGCAACUUGGAGAGCACCAGAUGCACACCCGGCUGCCGCUUCUCCGGGAGCUCUUCGUAGUUACUUGGUCUUUCUGCUGCUUGAAUAUGAAAAGUCUAAAGAAACCAGUGCUGGGAGCUCCUUUUGGGGUAUCCAAGUUUACCAGAGGCCAAGUCUACACAAGUGCAAAGCAGCCUAACUGAGGCAGCUGCUGAGUGCCUACUGAGUGUCAGGCCCUUGGAAUUCUGUGAUGAAUUCCAGAGUACUCCUGGAUGUACUGAUGUACGCCUAGACUACACUCCCCAUGAUGAGCACUGGGUAAUGUAUAGAACUGUUGACUCGCUAUAUUGUAUACCCGAAACUAACAUAGCACUGUAUGUUAACUAUACUGGAAUUAGAAUUUAACACUUAAAAAAAUGGGGCUCCUUCCUUCCAUGCAGGAAUCUAGCGGGGGAAUAAAACAUGGCGUCAAAAGGAAACGUAAAACAAGUAAGUUCCUGCCCUGAAGGCGAUCUGCACGGGGCCUCUCAUCACCUCGCUGAUCGUCAGGGCUGCUUCGCCUGAUCUGGCUGGAAAAGUAUUAACUAAAGUAAAAUAAAAUUAAAGUAAACAAGUAAAUUCCAGUAGGUAGGAGCCGCUGGCUUUGUCGGCCCCAAGUCGGGAGGUGGAAAGGUGAGCGGGAGGCCAGGGCACCAUAUGAAGGGACUCGAGUAAGUGUGAGAAUGUAAGGGAGUAGGAUUUAUAAGGGCUCGACUGGAAGGAUUGAAGACAAGGAUGAAAAUGGGUGCAAGGAAGACAGAAAACGCUUCAAUGGGAUCGCUCCAGAGCGGGAUGAACGAUGAAGGGGACGCUAAAGUCAGGUGGGCUCCUCAAGGCAAAGGUGCAUCCGUCUCACUCACCUCCUCCCUCUCCUUGUCCCCAGGGGCCAGGCCAUGGCUUGUUGCUCCCGCUCCGGUUGGGGGGCAGGGCGGGCGCGGGGAGCAGACGCGACAGAAGAGAAGGGGAUGCCCCGUGGCACAGAGGGCAUGUGCGGAUCAGGAGAGGGAUGGGUAUGACUGGUUUCAGGAGCCUUGGUCAAGGCCGCCACGCUAAUGGCUCAGACCAUUCCAGUGACUGGAUGGAGAGCAAGGGUGAGAGUGAGAGCGGCUGCCCCGAGGGGAGCGGGCAGAUUUGGGGGGCUCCAGACUCUUUGACCAACUGUGACACUGCCCCCCUACCCCCAGAGCCCCAGGCCUCCCGCUCUUGGGGGUGCAAACCCGCCACUGGAGCCACUGGAG
This is a long non-coding RNA of Panthera uncia (snow leopard), 1690 nucleotides long. RefSeq lists it as uncharacterized. The transcript has 3 exons. The record is from RefSeq and is a predicted model, not a curated record. Lineage: Eukaryota; Metazoa; Chordata; Mammalia; Carnivora; Felidae.